Molecule: ribosomal RNA, 2902 nt
Filed under: Escherichia coli DEC4A
Lineage: Bacteria; Pseudomonadati; Pseudomonadota; Gammaproteobacteria; Enterobacterales; Enterobacteriaceae
Description: bacterial LSU rRNA
Rfam family: Bacterial large subunit ribosomal RNA
Source: RNAcentral
UAAGCGACUAAGCGUACACGGUGGAUGCCCUGGCAGUCAGAGGCGAUGAAGGACGUGCUAAUCUGCGAUAAGCGUCGGUAAGGUGAUAUAGAACCGUUAUAACCGGCGAUUUCCGAAUGGGGAAACCCAGUGUGUUUCGUCACACUAUCAUUAACUGAAUCCAUUAGGUUAAUGAGGCGAACCGGGGGAACUGAAACAUCUAAGUACCCCGAGGUAAAAGAAAUCAACCGAGAUUCCCCCAGUAGCGGCGAGCGAACGGGGAGCAGCCCAGAGCCUGAAUCAGUGUGUGUGUUAGUGGAAGCGUCUGGAAAGGCGCGCGAUACAGGGUGACAGCCCCGUACACAAAAAUGCACAUACUGUGAGCUCGAUGAGUAGGGCGGGACACGUGGUAUCCUGUCUGAAUAUGGGGGGACCAUCCUCCAAGGCUAAAUACUCCUGACUGACCGAUAGUGAACCAGUACCGUGAGGGAAAGGCGAAAAGAACCCCGGCGAGGGGAGUGAAAAAGAACCUGAAACCGUGUACGUACAAGCAGUGGGAGCCUCUUUUAUGGGGUGACUGCGUACCUUUUGUAUAAUGGGUCAGCGACUUAUAUUCUGUAGCAAGGUUAACCGAAUAGGGGAGCCGAAGGGAAACCGAGUCUUAACCGGGCGUUAAGUUGCAGGGUAUAGACCCGAAACCCGGUGAUCUAGCCAUGGGCAGGUUGAAGGUUGGGUAACACUAACUGGAGGACCGAACCGACUAAUGUUGAAAAAUUAGCGGAUGACUUGUGGCUGGGGGUGAAAGGCCAAUCAAACCGGGAGAUAGCUGGUUCUCCCCGAAAGCUAUUUAGGUAGCGCCUCGUGAAUUCAUCUCCGGGGGUAGAGCACUGUUUCGGCAAGGGGGUCAUCCCGACUUACCAACCCGAUGCAAACUGCGAAUACCGGAGAAUGUUAUCACGGGAGACACACGGCGGGUGCUAACGUCCGUCGUGAAGAGGGAAACAACCCAGACCGCCAGCUAAGGUCCCAAAGUCAUGGUUAAGUGGGAAACGAUGUGGGAAGGCCCAGACAGCCAGGAUGUUGGCUUAGAAGCAGCCAUCAUUUAAAGAAAGCGUAAUAGCUCACUGGUCGAGUCGGCCUGCGCGGAAGAUGUAACGGGGCUAAACCAUGCACCGAAGCUGCGGCAGCGACACUGUGUGUUGUUGGGUAGGGGAGCGUUCUGUAAGCCUGUGAAGGUGUGCUGUGAGGCAUGCUGGAGGUAUCAGAAGUGCGAAUGCUGACAUAAGUAACGAUAAAGCGGGUGAAAAGCCCGCUCGCCGGAAGACCAAGGGUUCCUGUCCAACGUUAAUCGGGGCAGGGUGAGUCGACCCCUAAGGCGAGGCCGAAAGGCGUAGUCGAUGGGAAACAGGUUAAUAUUCCUGUACUUGGUGUUACUGCGAAGGGGGGACGGAGAAGGCUAUGUUGGCCGGGCGACGGUUGUCCCGGUUUAAGCGUGUAGGCUGGUUUUCCAGGCAAAUCCGGAAAAUCAAGGCUGAGGCGUGAUGACGAGGCACUACGGUGCUGAAGCAACAAAUGCCCUGCUUCCAGGAAAAGCCUCUAAGCAUCAGGUAACAUCAAAUCGUACCCCAAACCGACACAGGUGGUCAGGUAGAGAAUACCAAGGCGCUUGAGAGAACUCGGGUGAAGGAACUAGGCAAAAUGGUGCCGUAACUUCGGGAGAAGGCACGCUGAUAUGUAGGUGAAGUCCCUCGCGGAUGGAGCUGAAAUCAGUCGAAGAUACCAGCUGGCUGCAACUGUUUAUUAAAAACACAGCACUGUGCAAACACGAAAGUGGACGUAUACGGUGUGACGCCUGCCCGGUGCCGGAAGGUUAAUUGAUGGGGUCAGCGCAAGCGAAGCUCUUGAUCGAAGCCCCGGUAAGCGGCGGCCGUAACUAUAACGGUCCUAAGGUAGCGAAAUUCCUUGUCGGGUAAGUUCCGACCUGCACGAAUGGCGUAAUGAUGGCCAGGCUGUCUCCACCCGAGACUCAGUGAAAUUGAACUCGCUGUGAAGAUGCAGUGUACCCGCGGCAAGACGGAAAGACCCCGUGAACCUUUACUAUAGCUUGACACUGAACAUUGAGCCUUGAUGUGUAGGAUAGGUGGGAGGCUUUGAAGUGUGGACGCCAGUCUGCAUGGAGCCGACCUUGAAAUACCACCCUUUAAUGUUUGAUGUUCUAACGUGGACCCGUGAUCCGGGUUGCGGACAGUGUCUGGUGGGUAGUUUGACUGGGGCGGUCUCCUCCUAAAGAGUAACGGAGGAGCACGAAGGUUGGCUAAUCCUGGUCGGACAUCAGGAGGUUAGUGCAAUGGCAUAAGCCAGCUUGACUGCGAGCGUGACGGCGCGAGCAGGUGCGAAAGCAGGUCAUAGUGAUCCGGUGGUUCUGAAUGGAAGGGCCAUCGCUCAACGGAUAAAAGGUACUCCGGGGAUAACAGGCUGAUACCGCCCAAGAGUUCAUAUCGACGGCGGUGUUUGGCACCUCGAUGUCGGCUCAUCACAUCCUGGGGCUGAAGUAGGUCCCAAGGGUAUGGCUGUUCGCCAUUUAAAGUGGUACGCGAGCUGGGUUUAGAACGUCGUGAGACAGUUCGGUCCCUAUCUGCCGUGGGCGCUGGAGAACUGAGGGGGGCUGCUCCUAGUACGAGAGGACCGGAGUGGACGCAUCACUGGUGUUCGGGUUGUCAUGCCAAUGGCACUGCCCGGUAGCUAAAUGCGGAAGAGAUAAGUGCUGAAAGCAUCUAAGCACGAAACUUGCCCCGAGAUGAGUUCUCCCUGACCCUUUAAGGGUCCUGAAGGAACGUUGAAGACGACGACGUUGAUAGGCCGGGUGUGUAAGCGCAGCGAUGCGUUGAGCUAACCGGUACUAAUGAACCGUGAGGCUUAACCU